This 2159-nucleotide long non-coding RNA is filed under the name Triticum aestivum (bread wheat). Its description in RNAcentral is "long non-coding RNA (TAES_LNC017094)". The record is from RNAcentral. Lineage: Eukaryota; Viridiplantae; Streptophyta; Magnoliopsida; Poales; Poaceae.
CAUCACUGCAAGGAAUCAACACCGUCUCAACGGCGGCAACAACGGAUACAGAACAACUGAUGCGGCCUGAAGUGGACCUCAUUCAACCUUAAUUCCAGGUAUAGUAAUAACUAUCUUGCUGCUUAAUUACCUCCGCUACUAUAUAGCCAUUAGAACUGAUCCACGUAUACUGUAUAGGUAAUUAGCUUUUGUUGGGUCCAGUUGAGUAUCUCCUGGUCUUUUGAACUUCUUUUUUCAUGCACAUUAUUCGAUGGUGUUUUGAAAAGGCAUACGGCAGUUGUUGUUUUGGAGUUUUGAAACUAUUUCUCUUGCUAUUCUUGCCUCGUAGAAGGCAGGCAAUGCGCGGCAAGCUAUUUCACCUACUUGUUAGAUAUUGCAUCCUUAUUUAUUCUCAACACAUGACAAGUUGUGUUGUUUCUAUUCAUAUAUACUGUAGUAGGAUAUACACACGGAUAUUUUGUAAUGUUGUAGCCAACAAAGAGGCACAAAAGAGCAGAUGCAAGUUGCUGUCAACUGGCGCUCCAUCUGGAUUCGGAAUUCAUUUUCAUAUGGGAUGCAUUUUGUGCAGUAAAAAAACCAUUGGCUAGGAAGAAAUAAAAUCAUGAAUUUCCAGCCAAUCAACUACCAAAUAUAGGCCCUUGACAGCAGCAUUAAUUCUGUCUCAUACUUAAAUUUAGUUACGGCAUGUUGGCUUAGGUUGUUCAUAUAAAUUUUCUUAUUAAUUAUGUGGCAUAUCACUUAAUGAGGUUGCCUGUGUGGUAUAUGUUUGGGGCAACUCGGUUUUUUUCUAGAGGCCAGAGCUCAGUGUCUAAUCGCAUCAAAACAUGCUGCUGUUUAGCAUGAUUGGCAUAGCUUACAGUUUUUGUUAAACUGAAUUAGCGAAUAUAUGUUGCUUUUUCACGUGCGCACCAUGUCAUUUGAGACAAUUUCAAGAUCUUAGAAAUUAGCCCCAAGCUUCAAAAUUCCAACAAACUAAUACAAAGAUGAGAUUAUUCAUUUAAAAUUAGCAAGUUAUGAGAGGAGGUUUUGCAUAAAGUAAUUCUACAUGGCGUAAGAUUACAAUAUUCAUUGUAGCAAGAUUUUCUUUCUAAUCUGUGGCACCGUCAAAUUGGACAUCCAUCAUGGUUCAUGACAUUAGGCAUCAAGGAUAGAAGCAUAUAUGUUGGAUAUCUAUGACAUAAAGAGAUUAUCGUUUCAACUACUUGACCUAUCAGUGUUUGGUUAGUUCAAUCAAAUUUAUAGAUUUACUAUUGAUUGUUUGGAUGGUUGGUUAGGAAAGUGAAAAGGAAACUCUUUGAUGUUGACAACUUAGUUUCUCUGUGGUAAUGACAAGCUUCUUAAUUUACUCACAAGUGAGGAUCUGAUGUCAGUUAUUUUGUGGAUCAAACCUGCCAGCAAUGACCUUACUUGAACAAUAUCUAUUCUGUGGGAUCAUACCGUUGCCAACGUGCCAGCAAGUAAAUUUGUUGGCAUUUUAUUCUGUUUUAGGAUAACUUUUUUUGUUGCUCAAUAAAAGGAAUAUCCCUCUUCGUAAAUCUAUUAUUUCGCUUUCCCAUGAAGCUGUAGUUUUCUCCAAAUAAUUUUGAGAUUACACUAAGCAGAAGCUGCUAAACAUGUCGUGGAAGCUGAUGCAAAAUCAAACAGUAAAGAGGAGGUUGCUCUGUGUUGCCAUUGUUGUAUGAAUAUAAUGCAACCUUCUGCUACUGUAUGAAGAAAAGUAUGUGCAUAACUGCAUACUUGCAGGAAUAGAAGAUAGAUAAAUAUGACCUUGCGUACAGAUUGUUGUGUAGAUAAAACUGACCUUGCUUACAGAUUUUGUUGUAUGUAUUUUUUUGUAUAGUUGACCAAGAUAGAUAGAAUAUGGUAGAAGAAAGAGGUGCAGAUUGUUGUAUGGCCAUAUUGUACAUGGUGAUCAUUGUUGUAUUUAUUUUACAUAGAUAGAAUAAUGAUGUAGAUAUAGAGGGUUUUCGCAUAUGUACCAAUUUUCAUAGGAACUAUGAUUAUGUAUGACUGGUAUAUGGUGCACAAAUCAGUCAUAUACUCAUUUAUUGCGUGUGGCAUGUACUGUGUUUGUGAAGUGCGAUGAGCAAACAACCUGAGUGGUUUUCUUCUUACUUGUCAUGAAGUUUUGAUGGAUGAAGUUCUAUACAAUGCUUACU